UACGAAGGGUGCAACCGUUAUUCGGAAUCACUGGGCGUAAAGGGUGCGUAGACGGUAUGUUAAGUUCGUCGUUAAAGGCUUCGGCCUAACCGGAGUACCGCGAUGAAAACUGGCGUGCUAGAGGGUGAGAGAGAGAAGUGGAAUUCCUGGAGUAGCGGUAAAAUGCGUGGAUCUCAGGAGGAACACCAAUGGCGAAGGCAGCUUCUUGGCUCAUUCCUGACGUUGAGGCACGAAAGCGUGGGGAGCAAACAGG
RNAcentral lists this ribosomal RNA (253 nucleotides) under uncultured bacterium. RNAcentral describes it as "partial 16S ribosomal RNA". It matches the Rfam family "Bacterial small subunit ribosomal RNA", at positions 524 to 776 of the family's 1533-position model. The record is from RNAcentral.